This 377-nucleotide ribosomal RNA is filed under the name uncultured bacterium. RNAcentral's name for it is "bacterial SSU rRNA". It matches the Rfam family "Bacterial small subunit ribosomal RNA", at positions 523 to 898 of the family's 1533-position model. The record is from RNAcentral.
AGACGUAGGGGGCGAGCGUUGUCCGGAAUUACUGGGCGUAAAGGGCAUGUAGGCGGAUGCUCAAGUCAGGUGUGAAAGACCGCAGCUUAACUGCGGGGUUGCAUUUGAAACUGAGGAUCUUGAGGGCAGGAGAGGGCAGUGGAAUUCCUGGUGUAGCGGUGAAAUGCGUAGAAAUCAGGAGGAACACCAGUGGCGAAGGCGGCUGUCUGGACUGACCCUGACGCUGAGGUGCGAAAGCGUGGGUAGCAAACAGGAUUAGAUACCCUGGUAGUCCACGCUAUAAACGAUGGAUACUAGGUGUGGGAGGUAUCGACCCCUUCCGUGCCGCAGCUAACGCAAUAAGUAUCCCGCCUGGGGAGUACGGUCGCAAGGCUGAA